CGAAAAUUCAUAGGACUUAUGCUUUCUGCCGAAGUUAUAAAUUUAAAUUAAAAUAAUUUAAAUGGUAGUGGAACGUUUUUUAAGCCAGUGAAGUUAAAUUGUUAAAUUUAAUCGAGGUAUAAAAAGUGAGAAUGCUAAUAUAAGUAACGUUAAACAAUGUAAAAAGCAUUGUCGCCUAAAAUUUAAAGUUUUCUAUGCAAUGUUUAUCAUCGUAGAAUCAAUCGGUCUCUAAGAAUUUAAUAUCGAUAGAUAUGUUUGAUGAGAAU
This 266-nucleotide ribosomal RNA is filed under the name Prymnesium parvum. RNAcentral describes it as "partial Bacterial large subunit ribosomal RNA". It matches the Rfam family "Bacterial large subunit ribosomal RNA", at positions 1165 to 1425 of the family's 2925-position model. Lineage: Eukaryota; Haptophyta; Prymnesiales; Prymnesiaceae. The record is from RNAcentral.